ACAUUUCACUGGUGGGCUGAUGCGUCCGAUCUUUCUAAACACCAUCAGCUGCCCGGUGAAGUGUAG
This 66-nucleotide microRNA precursor is filed under the name Patiria miniata (bat star). Its description in RNAcentral is "Pmi-Mir-22-P2_pre stem-loop". The record is from RNAcentral. Lineage: Eukaryota; Metazoa; Echinodermata; Asteroidea; Valvatida; Asterinidae.